AGUCUGUUUCAGGGCGGAGUGAAAUUCUCCACUGGCGGUAAUGAGGGGGAUCCCUUUAGUCCGCGAGCCGGAUUUCCGGCACGAUUUGGUGCGAUUCCAAAACCAACGGUAUAGUCCGGAUAAAAGAAACAAAUG
This 135-nucleotide non-coding RNA is filed under the name [Clostridium] methylpentosum. Its description in RNAcentral is "Clostridium methylpentosum FMN sequence". It matches the Rfam family "FMN riboswitch aptamer (RFN element)". Rfam says of the family: The RFN element is a highly conserved domain that is found frequently in the 5'-untranslated regions of prokaryotic mRNAs that encode for flavin mononucleotide (FMN) biosynthesis and transport proteins. This element is a metabolite-dependent riboswitch that directly binds FMN in the absence of proteins. RNAcentral also lists the same sequence under 1 other name. Lineage: Bacteria; Bacillati; Bacillota; Clostridia; Eubacteriales; Oscillospiraceae. The record is from RNAcentral.